CAAUAGCGUAUAUUUAAGUUGCUGCAGUUAAAAAGCUCGUAGUUGGAUUUCGGGUGGGAAUGGCCGGUCCGCCGUUUCGGUGUGCACUUGCUACGCCCACCUUGCUGCCGGGGACGUGCUCUUGAGUUCACGCUCGGGACACGGAGUCGGCGAGGUUACUUUGAGUAAAUUAGAGUGUUCAAAGCAGGCCUACGCUCUGAAUACAUUAGCAUGGAAUAACACGAUAGGACUCUGGCCUAUCUUGUUGGUCUGUAGGACCGGAGUAAUGAUUAAGAGGGACAGUCGGGGGCAUUCGUAUUUCAUUGUCAGAGGUGAAAUUCAUGGAUUUAUGAAAGACGAACUACUGCGAAAGCAUUUGCCAAGGAUGUUUUCAUUAA
Molecule: ribosomal RNA, 377 nt
Filed under: uncultured eukaryote
Lineage: Eukaryota
Description: partial 18S ribosomal RNA
Rfam family: Eukaryotic small subunit ribosomal RNA
Source: RNAcentral